GACGAACGCUGGCGGCGUGCUUAACACAUGCCAGUCGAACGGAAAGGCCCUGCUUUUGUGGGGUGCUCGAGUGGCGAACGGGUGAGUAACACGUGAGUAACCUGCCCUUGACUUUGGGAUAACUUCAGGAAACUGGGGCUAAUACCGGAUAGGAGCUCCUGCUGCAUGGUGGGGGUUGGAAAGUUUCGGCGGUUGGGGACGGACUCGCGGCUUAUCAGCUUGUUGGUGGGGUAGUGGCUUACCAAGGCUUUGACGGGUAGCCGGCCUGAGAGGGUGACCGGCCACAUUGGGACUGAGAUACGGCCCAGACUCCUACGGGAGGCAGCAGUGGGGAAUAUUGCACAAUGGGCGGAAGCCUGAUGCAGCAACGCCGCGUGCGGGAUGACGGCCUUCGGGUUGUAAACCGCUUUCGCCUGUGACGAAGCGUGAGUGACGGUAAUGGGUAAAGAAGCACCGGCUAACUACGUG
RNAcentral lists this ribosomal RNA (468 nucleotides) under uncultured bacterium. Its description in RNAcentral is "partial 16S ribosomal RNA". It matches the Rfam family "Bacterial small subunit ribosomal RNA", at positions 28 to 507 of the family's 1533-position model. The record is from RNAcentral.